Molecule: ribosomal RNA, 311 nt
Filed under: Ophiderma flavicephala
Lineage: Eukaryota; Metazoa; Arthropoda; Insecta; Hemiptera; Membracidae
Description: eukaryotic LSU rRNA
Rfam family: Eukaryotic large subunit ribosomal RNA
Source: RNAcentral
GGGCGAAAGGGAAUCCGGUUCCUAUUCCGGAACCCGGUAGCGGAACCGUUCCAAAACGGGCCCUCGCGAGUGCUCGUCGGGGCAACCCAAAGAGACCCGGAGACGCCGUCGGGAGAUCCGGAGAGAGUUUUCUUUUCUCUAUAAGCGUUCGAGUUCCCUGGAAUCCUCUAGCAGGGAGAUAGGGUUUGGAACGCGAAGAGCACCGCAGUUGCAGCGGUGUCCGGAUCUUCCCCUCGGACCUUGAAAAUCCGGGAGAGGGCUACGUGGAAAGUUCGCACCGGAUCGUACCCAUAUCCGCAGCAGGUCUCCAA